RNAcentral lists this ribosomal RNA (205 nucleotides) under uncultured bacterium. RNAcentral's name for it is "partial 16S ribosomal RNA". It matches the Rfam family "Bacterial small subunit ribosomal RNA", at positions 524 to 728 of the family's 1533-position model. The record is from RNAcentral.
UACGAAGGGGGCUAGCGUUGCUCGGAAUUACUGGGCGUAAAGGGCGCGUAGGCGGCCGCCUAAGUCGAACGUGAAAUCCCCGGGCUCAACCCGGGAACUGCGUCCGAUACUGGGUGGCUUGAAUUCGGGAGAGGGAUGCGGAAUUCCAGGUGUAGCGGUGAAAUGCGUAGAUAUCUGGAGGAACACCGGUGGCGAAGGCGCGAUC